This 431-nucleotide ribosomal RNA is filed under the name uncultured bacterium. RNAcentral's name for it is "bacterial SSU rRNA". It matches the Rfam family "Bacterial small subunit ribosomal RNA", at positions 29 to 507 of the family's 1533-position model. The record is from RNAcentral.
AACGAACGCUGGCGGCAGGCCUAACACAUGCAAGUCGAACGAACCUUCGGGUUAGUGGCGCACGGGUGCGUAACACGUGGGAAUAUACAUUUCGGUAAGGAAUAACACAGAGGAAUUUGUGCUAAUACCUUAUAAUGACUCCGGUCCAAAGAUUUAUCGCCGAAGGAUUAGCCCGCGCUAGAUUAGUUUGUUGGUGAGGUAAGAGCUCACCAAGACUACGAUCUAUAGCUGGUCUUAGAGGAUGAUCAGCCACACUGGAACUGAGACACGGUCCAGACUCCUACGGGAGGCAGCAGUGAGGAAUAUUGGACAAUGGGGGCAACCCUGAUCCAGCCAUGCCGCGUGAAUGAAGAAGGCCUUAGGGUUGUAAAAUUCUUUCAGAUGCGAAGAUAAUGACGGUACCAUCAGAAGAAGCUCCGGCUAAAUUCGUG